UACGUAGGGGGCAAGCGUUGUUCGGAAUUACUGGGCGUAAAGCGUGCGUAGGUGGUUCGGUAAGUCAGAUGUGAAAGCCCUGGGCUUAACCUGGGAAUUGCGUUUGAUACUGCUUGACUAGAGUUUGGUAGAGGGAAGUGGAAUUCCACGUGUAGCGGUGAAAUGCGUAGAUAUGUGGAGGAACACCAGUGGCGAAGGCGGCUUCCUGGACUAAAACUGACACUGAGGCACGAAAGCGUGGGGAGCAAACAGG
RNAcentral lists this ribosomal RNA (253 nucleotides) under uncultured organism. RNAcentral describes it as "partial 16S ribosomal RNA". It matches the Rfam family "Bacterial small subunit ribosomal RNA", at positions 524 to 776 of the family's 1533-position model. The record is from RNAcentral.